This 484-nucleotide ribosomal RNA is filed under the name uncultured bacterium. Its description in RNAcentral is "partial 16S ribosomal RNA". It matches the Rfam family "Bacterial small subunit ribosomal RNA", at positions 28 to 523 of the family's 1533-position model. The record is from RNAcentral.
GACGAACGCUGGCGGCGUGCUUAACACAUGCAAGUCGAACGAUGAAGCCGGAGCUUGCUCUGGUGAAUUAGUGGCGAACGGGUGAGUAACACGUGAGUAACCUGCCCUUGACUCUGGGAUAACUGCGGGAAACUGUAGCUAAUACCGGAUACGACCAUCGGAGGCAUCUCCUGGGGGUGGAAAGAAUUUCGGUCAAGGAUGGACUCGCGGCCUAUCAGCUAGUUGGUGAGGUAAAGGCUCACCAAGGCGACGACGGGUAGCCGGCCUGAGAGGGUGACCGGCCACACUGGGACUGAGACACGGCCCAGACUCCUACGGGAGGCAGCAGUGGGGGAUAUUGCACAAUGGGCGCAAGCCUGAUGCAGCAACGCCGCGUGAGGGAUGACGGCCUUCGGGUUGUAAACCUCUUUUAGCAGGGAAGAAGCGAAAGUGACGGUACCUGCAGAAAAAGCACCGGCUAACUACGUGCCAGCAGCCGCCGCCG